Molecule: non-coding RNA, 106 nt
Organism: Acanthosepion pharaonis
Lineage: Eukaryota; Metazoa; Mollusca; Cephalopoda; Sepiida; Sepiidae
Source: the annotation of a GenBank genome assembly
UACGACCACAUCACGUUGAAAAACCGGUAAGAUCACCGAAUUUAAGCAGUGUCGAGCUGAGUCAGUACCCAGAUGGGUGACCGCUUGAGAAUACCAGGUGCUGUAA